This 446-nucleotide long non-coding RNA is filed under the name Fukomys damarensis (Damara mole-rat). RNAcentral describes it as "lncRNA (ENSFDAG00000023419.1)". Lineage: Eukaryota; Metazoa; Chordata; Mammalia; Rodentia; Bathyergidae. The record is from RNAcentral.
GUUUGGGAUAGUCAAUGUAAAGAACAUGGCUGUAAAAGAUUUAAAAAACCUAUUUAGUAUUUCUUUUGGAAAAAACUAGUAAAUAAAUAUGAUUUUACAAAUUUUCAUUUCAGUUGCUUUUGCCAAGAGUAAGUUAUUUGACGUUGGUAACUGACAAAGUGAAAAAGCACUUUCAGAAGGUUAUGAGACAAGAAGAUAAUAGUGAGAUAUGGUUUGAAUAUGAAGGCACACCACUGAAAUGGUGGUUCUGGGAAGGGAUGACAGUUGUUUCAUAGUACUAUUAAAUCGGUAUGUAACAGUGAGCUUCAUGAUCACAUAUAAGACUCAUUAUGAUUAUUAGAUACUUCUAGAACUCAGCAAAGGUAAAGCAGUUUUCUGUUUACUUUUGUUUCAAAAGAAUUGGAAGUUUUAGAAUGGGAAGGUGGUUUUUUAAAAGUGUAGAAGGA